GGGUUGUGAGGUUAAGCGACUAAGCGUACACGGUGGAUGCCCUGGCAGUCAGAGGCGAUGAAGGACGUGCUAAUCUGCGAUAAGCGUCGGUAAGGUGAUAUGAACCGUUAUAACCGGCGAUUUCCGAAUGGGGAAACCCAGUGUGUUUCGACACACUAUCAUUAACUGAAUCCAUAGGUUAAUGAGGCGAACCGGGGGAACUGAAACAUCUAAGUACCCCGAGGAAAAGAAAUCAACCGAGAUUCCCCCAGUAGCGGCGAGCGAACGGGGAGCAGCCCAGAGCCUGAAUCAGUGUGUGUGUUAGUGGAAGCGUCUGGAAAGGCGCGCGAUACAGGGUGACAGCCCCGUACACAAAAAUGCACAUACUGUGAGCUCGAUGAGUAGGGCGGGACACGUGGUAUCCUGUCUGAAUAUGGGGGACCAUCCUCCAAGGCUAAAUACUCCUGACUGACCGAUAGUGAACCAGUACCGUGAGGGAAAGGCGAAAAGAACCCCGGCGAGGGGAGUGAAAAAGAACCUGAAACCGUGUACGUACAAGCAGUGGGAGCACGCUUAGGCGUGUGACUGCGUACCUUUUGUAUAAUGGGUCAGCGACUUAUAUUCUGUAGCAAGGUUAACCGAAUAGGGGAGCCGAAGGGAAACCGAGUCUUAACUGGGCGUUAAGUUGCAGGGUAUAGACCCGAAACCCGGUGAUCUAGCCAUGGGCAGGUUGAAGGUUGGGUAACACUAACUGGAGGACCGAACCGACUAAUGUUGAAAAAUUAGCGGAUGACUUGUGGCUGGGGGUGAAAGGCCAAUCAAACCGGGAGAUAGCUGGUUCUCCCCGAAAGCUAUUUAGGUAGCGCCUCGUGAAUUCAUCUCCGGGGGUAGAGCACUGUUUCGGCAAGGGGGUCAUCCCGACUUACCAACCCGAUGCAAACUGCGAAUACCGGAGAAUGUUAUCACGGGAGACACACGGCGGGUGCUAACGUCCGUCGUGAAGAGGGAAACAACCCAGACCGCCAGCUAAGGUCCCAAAGUCAUGGUUAAGUGGGAAACGAUGUGGGAAGGCCCAGACAGCCAGGAUGUUGGCUUAGAAGCAGCCAUCAUUUAAAGAAAGCGUAAUAGCUCACUGGUCGAGUCGGCCUGCGCGGAAGAUGUAACGGGGCUAAACCAUGCACCGAAGCUGCGGCAGCGACGCUGAUGCGUUGUUGGGUAGGGGAGCGUUCUGUAAGCCUGCGAAGGUGUGCUGUGAGGCAUGCUGGAGGUAUCAGAAGUGCGAAUGCUGACAUAAGUAACGAUAAAGCGGGUGAAAAGCCCGCUCGCCGGAAGACCAAGGGUUCCUGUCCAACGUUAAUCGGGGCAGGGUGAGUCGACCCCUAAGGCGAGGCCGAAAGGCGUAGUCGAUGGGAAACAGGUUAAUAUUCCUGUACUUGGUGUUACUGCGAAGGGGGGACGGAGAAGGCUAUGUUGGCCGGGCGACGGUUGUCCCGGUUUAAGCGUGUAGGCUGGUUUUCCAGGCAAAUCCGGAAAAUCAAGGCUGAGGCGUGAUGACGAGGCACUACGGUGCUGAAGCAACAAAUGCCCUGCUUCCAGGAAAAGCCUCUAAGCAUCAGGUAACAUCAAAUCGUACCCCAAACCGACACAGGUGGUCAGGUAGAGAAUACCAAGGCGCUUGAGAGAACUCGGGUGAAGGAACUAGGCAAAAUGGUGCCGUAACUUCGGGAGAAGGCACGCUGAUAUGUAGGUGAAGCGACUUGCUCGUGGAGCUGAAAUCAGUCGAAGAUACCAGCUGGCUGCAACUGUUUAUUAAAAACACAGCACUGUGCAAACACGAAAGUGGACGUAUACGGUGUGACGCCUGCCCGGUGCCGGAAGGUUAAUUGAUGGGGUCAGCGCAAGCGAAGCUCUUGAUCGAAGCCCCGGUAAACGGCGGCCGUAACUAUAACGGUCCUAAGGUAGCGAAAUUCCUUGUCGGGUAAGUUCCGACCUGCACGAAUGGCGUAAUGAUGGCCAGGCUGUCUCCACCCGAGACUCAGUGAAAUUGAACUCGCUGUGAAGAUGCAGUGUACCCGCGGCAAGACGGAAAGACCCCGUGAACCUUUACUAUAGCUUGACACUGAACAUUGAGCCUUGAUGUGUAGGAUAGGUGGGAGGCUUUGAAGUGUGGACGCCAGUCUGCAUGGAGCCGACCUUGAAAUACCACCCUUUAAUGUUUGAUGUUCUAACGUUGACCCGUGAUCCGGGUUGCGGACAGUGUCUGGUGGGUAGUUUGACUGGGGCGGUCUCCUCCUAAAGAGUAACGGAGGAGCACGAAGGUUGGCUAAUCCUGGUCGGACAUCAGGAGGUUAGUGCAAUGGCAUAAGCCAGCUUGACUGCGAGCGUGACGGCGCGAGCAGGUGCGAAAGCAGGUCAUAGUGAUCCGGUGGUUCUGAAUGGAAGGGCCAUCGCUCAACGGAUAAAAGGUACUCCGGGGAUAACAGGCUGAUACCGCCCAAGAGUUCAUAUCGACGGCGGUGUUUGGCACCUCGAUGUCGGCUCAUCACAUCCUGGGGCUGAAGUAGGUCCCAAGGGUAUGGCUGUUCGCCAUUUAAAGUGGUACGCGAGCUGGGUUUAGAACGUCGUGAGACAGUUCGGUCCCUAUCUGCCGUGGGCGCUGGAGAACUGAGGGGGGCUGCUCCUAGUACGAGAGGACCGGAGUGGACGCAUCACUGGUGUUCGGGUUGUCAUGCCAAUGGCACUGCCCGGUAGCUAAAUGCGGAAGAGAUAAGUGCUGAAAGCAUCUAAGCACGAAACUUGCCCCGAGAUGAGUUCUCCCUGACUCCUUGAGAGUCCUGAAGGAACGUUGAAGACGACGACGUUGAUAGGCCGGGUGUGUAAGCGCAGCGAUGCGUUGAGCUAACCGGUACUAAUGAACCGUGAGGCUUAACCUUACAACGCCGAAGCUGUU
Molecule: ribosomal RNA, 2929 nt
Filed under: Escherichia coli O121 str. RM8352
Lineage: Bacteria; Pseudomonadati; Pseudomonadota; Gammaproteobacteria; Enterobacterales; Enterobacteriaceae
Description: bacterial LSU rRNA
Rfam family: Bacterial large subunit ribosomal RNA
Source: RNAcentral